AUGUUAUAUGGUGUGUCUGCUCCUAAAGUGAUCGUCCUGCCGCCGUCCAGUGAAGAGAUUUCCAGCAAGAAGACAGCAACAGUGAUGUGUGUGGCCAGCAAUGGUUUCCCUUCAGACUGGAGUCUGAGCUGGAAAGUGAAUGGGAAGAUGUCAGGAUCUCAGGAGAACAGAGCUGGAGUCCUACAGAAAGACGGCGGUCUGUACAGCUGGAGCAGCAGUCUGACUCUCACUGAACAAGAAUGGAUCAACAGAGACUCAGUGAUCUGUGAGAUCAGUCGGGAAGGUCAGACAGUCACUGGAGAAGUGAAGAAAGAUCUGUGUUCUCAGUAGAUCCUCUCUUCUUCUCAUCUCUUCUUCUCAUUCAUGUCUCACAUCAACAGUGGACAACUAU
Misgurnus anguillicaudatus (oriental weatherfish) is the source of this 391-nucleotide non-coding RNA. NCBI's taxonomy places the organism in Eukaryota, Metazoa, Chordata, Actinopteri, Cypriniformes, Cobitidae. The record is from the annotation of a RefSeq genome assembly.